GUCGAGGAUCAUUCGCAAUGGGCGCAAGCCUGACGAUGCGACGCCGUGUGAACGAAGAAGGCCUUCGGGUUGUAAAGUUCUUUCGCUUGGGAACAAGAGAGUUGGCUGAAUAGGCCAAUGAUUUGAGUGUACCAGGUAAAGAAGCACCGGCUAACUCCGUGCCAGCAGCUGCGGUAAUACGGAGGGUGCAAGCAUUAAUCGGAUUUAUUGGGCGUAAAGGGCGCGUAGGUGGUUUGGCAAGUCAGAUGUGAAAUUCUAGAGCUCAACUUUAGAGCUGCAUCUGAAACUGCGAGACUAGAGGGUAGACGGAGAAAAUGGAAUUCCACGUGUAGCGGUGAAAUGCGUAGAUAUGUGGAGGAACACCGGUGGCGAAAGCGGUUUUCUAGUUUAGACCUGACACUGAGGCGCGAAAGCGAGGGGAUCAAACAGGAUUAGAUACCCGUGUAGUCC
Molecule: ribosomal RNA, 450 nt
Filed under: uncultured bacterium
Lineage: Bacteria
Description: bacterial SSU rRNA
Rfam family: Bacterial small subunit ribosomal RNA
Source: RNAcentral